Molecule: ribosomal RNA, 253 nt
Filed under: uncultured bacterium
Lineage: Bacteria
Description: partial 16S ribosomal RNA
Rfam family: Bacterial small subunit ribosomal RNA
Source: RNAcentral
GACGUGGGGCGCGAGCGUUGGCCGGAUUUAUUGGGCGUAAAGAGCUCGUAGGCGGCUUGUCGCGUCGUCUGUGAAAUCCCGCGGCUCAACCGCGGGUCUGCAGUCGAUACGGGCAGGCUAGAGUUCGGUAGGGGAGACUGGAAUUCCUGGUGUAGCGGUGAAAUGCGCAGAUAUCAGGAGGAACACCGGUGGCGAAGGCGGGUCUCUGGGCCGAUACUGACGCUGAGGAGCGAAAGCGUGGGGAGCGAACAGG